UGGGGAAUUUUUCACAAUGGGGGAAACCCUGAUGCAGCGACGCCGCGUGAUUUAGAAGGCCUUCGGGUUGUAAAAAUCUUUUCUAUGGGAAGAUAAUGACAGUACCAUAGAAGAAAGCUCCGGCUAAAUACGUGCCAGCAGCCGCGGUAAUACGUAUGGAGCGAGCGUUGUCCGGAAUUAUUGGGCGUAAAGGGUACGCAGGCGGUUUAAUAAGUCGAAUGUUAAAGAUCGGGGCUCAACCCCGUAAAGCAUUGGAAACUGAUAAACUUGAGUAGUGGAGAGGAAAGUGGAAUUCCUAGUGUAGUGGUGAAAUACGUAGAUAUUAGGAGGAAUACCAGUAGCGAAGGCGACUUUCUGGACACAAACUGACGCUGAGGUACGAAAGCGUGGGGAGCAAACAGG
Molecule: ribosomal RNA, 402 nt
Filed under: Bacteroidota bacterium
Lineage: Bacteria; Pseudomonadati; Bacteroidota
Description: Bacteroidetes bacterium partial 16S ribosomal RNA
Rfam family: Bacterial small subunit ribosomal RNA
Source: RNAcentral